CAGUCGCCGCGGUAAUACAGAGGGUGCGAGCGUUAAUCGGAUUUACUGGGCGUAAAGCGCGCGUAGGUGGUUCGCCAAGUUGGAUGUGAAAUCCCCGGGCUCAACCUGGGAACUGCAUCCAAAACUGGCGAGCUAGAGUAUGGUAGAGGGUGGUGGAAUUUCCUGUGUAGCGGUGAAAUGCGUAGAUAUAGGAAGGAACAUCAGUGGCGAAGGCGACCACCUGGACUGAUACUGACACUGAGGUGCGAAAGCGUGGGGAGCAAACAGGAUUAGAUACCCCUGUAGUCCCUGUCUCUUAUAA
This 301-nucleotide ribosomal RNA is filed under the name uncultured bacterium. RNAcentral's name for it is "partial 16S ribosomal RNA". It matches the Rfam family "Bacterial small subunit ribosomal RNA", at positions 509 to 809 of the family's 1533-position model. The record is from RNAcentral.